Molecule: ribosomal RNA, 255 nt
Filed under: uncultured bacterium
Lineage: Bacteria
Description: partial 16S ribosomal RNA
Rfam family: Bacterial small subunit ribosomal RNA
Source: RNAcentral
UACAGAGGAGCCAAGCGUUGUCCGGAUUGACUGGGCGUAAAGCGCACGCAGGCGGUCGCGCGCGUGGGGUGUGAAAUCUGGCCGCUUAACGGCCAGGCGCCAUCCCAUACGGCACGACUGGAGUGAUGCAGAGGUCGGUGGAAUUGCCGGUGUAGUGGUGAAAUGCGUAGAGAUCGGCAGGAACACCCAAGGGGAAGCCAGCUGGCUGGGCAUUUGCUGACGCUCAUGGUGCGACAGCGUGGGGAGCGGAACUGG